This 250-nucleotide ribosomal RNA is filed under the name uncultured bacterium. RNAcentral's name for it is "partial 16S ribosomal RNA". It matches the Rfam family "Bacterial small subunit ribosomal RNA", at positions 524 to 773 of the family's 1533-position model. The record is from RNAcentral. RNAcentral also lists the same sequence under 1 other name.
UACGGAGGGAGCUAGCGUUGUUCGGAAUUACUGGGCGUAAAGCGCACGUAGGCGGCUUUCCAAGUCAGGGGUGAAAUCCCGGGGCUCAACCCCGGAACUGCCCUUGAAACUGGAUGGCUAGAAUCCUGGAGAGGCGAGUGGAAUUCCGAGUGUAGAGGUGAAAUUCGUAGAUAUUCGGAAGAACACCAGUGGCGAAGGCGACUCGCUGGACAGGUAUUGACGCUGAGGUGCGAAAGCGUGGGGAGCAAAC